ACGAACGCUGGCGGCGUGCCUAAUACAUGCAAGUCGAACGAACUCUGGUAUUGAUUGGUGCUUGCAUCAUGAUUUACAUUUGAGUGAGUGGCGAACUGGUGAGUAACACGUGGGAAACCUGCCCAGAAGCGGGGGAUAACACCUGGAAACAGAUGCUAAUACCGCAUAACAACUUGGACCGCAUGGUCCGAGCUUGAAAGAUGGCUUCGGCUAUCACUUUUGGAUGGUCCCGCGGCGUAUUAGCUAGAUGGUGGGGUAACGGCUCACCAUGGCAAUGAUACGUAGCCGACCUGAGAGGGUAAUCGGCCACAUUGGGACUGAGACACGGCCCAAACUCCUACGGGAGGCAGCAGUAGGGAAUCUUCCACAAUGGACGAAAGUCUGAUGGAGCAACGCCGCGUGAGUGAAGAAGGGUUUCGGCUCGUAAAACUCUGUUGUUAAAGAAGAACAUAUCUGAGAGUAACUGUUCAGGUAUUGACGGUAUUUAACCAGAAAGCCACGGCUAACUACGUGCCAGCAGCCGCGGUAAUACGUAGGUGGCAAGCGUUGUCCGGAUUUAUUGGGCGUAAAGCGAGCGCAGGCGGUUUUUUAAGUCUGAUGUGAAAGCCUUCGGCUCAACCGAAGAAGUGCAUCGGAAACUGGGAAACUUGAGUGCAGAAGAGGACAGUGGAACUCCAUGUGUAGCGGUGAAAUGCGUAGAUAUAUGGAAGAACACCAGUGGCGAAGGCGGCUGUCUGGUCUGUAACUGACGCUGAGGCUCGAAAGUAUGGGUAGCAAACAGGAUUAGAUACCCUGGUAGUCCAUACCGUAAACGAUGAAUGCUAAGUGUUGGAGGGUUUCCGCCCUUCAGUGCUGCAGCUAACGCAUUAAGCAUUCCGCCUGGGGAGUACGGCCGCAAGGCUGAAACUCAAAGGAAUUGACGGGGGCCCGCACAAGCGGUGGAGCAUGUGGUUUAAUUCGAAGCUACGCGAAGAACCUUACCAGGUCUUGACAUACUAUGCAAAUCUAAGAGAUUAGACGUUCCCUUCGGGGACAUGGAUACAGGUGGUGCAUGGUUGUCGUCAGCUCGUGUCGUGAGAUGUUGGGUUAAGUCCCGCAACGAGCGCAACCCUUAUUAUCAGUUGCCAGCAUUAAGUUGGGCACUCUGGUGAGACUGCCGGUGACAAACCGGAGGAAGGUGGGGAUGACGUCAAAUCAUCAUGCCCCUUAUGACCUGGGCUACACACGUGCUACAAUGGAUGGUACAACGAGUUGCGAACUCGCGAGAGUAAGCUAAUCUCUUAAAGCCAUUCUCAGUUCGGAUUGUAGGCUGCAACUCGCCUACAUGAAGUCGGAAUCGCUAGUAAUCGCGGAUCAGCAUGCCGCGGUGAAUACGUUCCCGGGCCUUGUACACACCGCCCGUCACACCAUGAGAGUUUGUAACACCCAAAGUCGGUGGGGUAACCUUUUAGGAACCAGCCGCCUAAGGUGGGACAGAUGAUUAGGGUGAAGUCGUCCAA
RNAcentral lists this ribosomal RNA (1499 nucleotides) under Lactiplantibacillus plantarum. RNAcentral's name for it is "partial 16S ribosomal RNA". It matches the Rfam family "Bacterial small subunit ribosomal RNA". Lineage: Bacteria; Bacillati; Bacillota; Bacilli; Lactobacillales; Lactobacillaceae. The record is from RNAcentral.